Molecule: ribosomal RNA, 502 nt
Filed under: uncultured bacterium
Lineage: Bacteria
Description: partial 16S ribosomal RNA
Rfam family: Bacterial small subunit ribosomal RNA
Source: RNAcentral
AUUGAACGCUGGCGGCAUGCCUUACACAUGCAAGUCGAACGGCAGCAUAGGAGCUUGCUCCUGAUGGCGAGUGGCGAACGGGUGAGUAAUAUAUCGGAACGUGCCCUAGAGUGGGGGAUAACUAGUCGAAAGACUAGCUAAUACCGCAUACGAUCUACGGAUGAAAGUGGGGGAUCGCAAGACCUCAUGCUCCUGGAGCGGCCGAUAUCUGAUUAGCUAGUUGGUGGGGUAAAAGCCUACCAAGGCGACGAUCAGUAGCUGGUCUGAGAGGACGACCAGCCACACUGGGACUGAGACACGGCCCAGACUCCUACGGGAGGCAGCAGUGGGGAAUUUUGGACAAUGGGGGCAACCCUGAUUCAGCAAUGCCGCGUGAGUGAAGAAGGCCUUCGGGUUGUAAAGCUCUUUUGUCAGGGAAGAAACGGUAGUAGCUAAUAUCUAUUACUAAUGACGGUACCUGAAGAAUAAGCACCGGCUAACUACGUGCCAGCCGCCGCAGUAA